Molecule: non-coding RNA, 810 nt
Organism: Oryctolagus cuniculus (rabbit)
Lineage: Eukaryota; Metazoa; Chordata; Mammalia; Lagomorpha; Leporidae
Source: RefSeq, a predicted model, not a curated record
CCGCGCGCCGCGCACGAGCGCGCCCACGCACGCACGCACACGCGCGCGUUCACGUGUCCCCGCCCGCUCGCCCUCUAGCGGUGGCGGAGGGCAGGGCGGCGGGUUGCUAAGCGACUUGGUACUGGUCGGGAAAGGAGCCUCAUGUGUCCGAGGGUGCCCUGAGGACCCCAUUCCUCGGCCCCAGUCGCCUCUGCCGUCGCAGGCUGUCCCACUCCCCACAACGCCUCAUCCUCCUGAUGACUGAGAAUUCGCUUUUUCAUGCGUGCCUUCAUUCAGUGUUGAGUUGUUCAUUCGCUCUUUAAAUAUUUAUUGAGUGUCCCUAUAUGUCAGACAUGGCCCUAAGCGCCAGGGACACAACACAGACAGAAAUUCGUCCCCGUCCUCACGGAGUUUGCAUUUUUGUGAGGGAAAUAUUGGAUUCAUCCUUGUGAGGGAAACAUACGUGAAGAAGAUCCAGUUUCUGUUCUCCAAAAAGAUGUGCGUAUGGCAGGGGGAAGAAAGGUAGAAGACAAACUCAUGCCUGUAAACCGUGACCAGCGACACAGGAACACCAGUAGCAGCGGUUGGUCCUAUUUUGCAGAAGAGGAAAAUGAACCACAGGAAUCUGGACCAGAGACAGUAGCUUCUGGGCCAAGAGGGGUUGUUUGAGGCUCCGCUUUUCUAUAAACUGGACACAGCCCAAAGGGAUGGGUGAAGGCAGUGUGCCUGAUGAAUUCAGCCAUCAAUAAUUCAGGCCACAGCAUCUGCCUGGCAACCAGGCCCCGCGCCUCCGAGUCUCCUUGUCUGAGAGCACAGGAAAGGAAAUUGGAG